This 464-nucleotide ribosomal RNA is filed under the name uncultured bacterium. RNAcentral's name for it is "partial 16S ribosomal RNA". It matches the Rfam family "Bacterial small subunit ribosomal RNA", at positions 339 to 795 of the family's 1533-position model. The record is from RNAcentral.
CUACGGGGUGCUCCAGUGGGGAAUAUUGCACAAUGGGCGCAAGCCUGAUGCAGCCAUGCCGCGUGUAUGAAGAAGGCCUUCGGGUUGUAAAGUACUUUCAGCGGGGAGGAAGGGAGUAAAGUUAAUACCUUUGCUCAUUGACGUUACCCGCAGAGGAAGCACCGGCUAACUCCGUGCCAGCAGCCGCGGUAAUACGGAGGGUGCAAGCGUUAAUCGGAAUUACUGGGCGUAAAGCGCACGCAGGCGGUUUGUUAAGUCAGAUGUGAAAUCCCCGGGCUCAACCUGGGAACUGCAUCUGAUACUGGCAAGCUUGAGUCUCGUAGAGGGGGGUAGAAUUCCAGGUGUAGCGGUGAAAUGCGUAGAGAUCAGGAGGAAUACCGGUGGCGAAGGCGGCCCCCUGGACGAAGACUGACGCUCAGGUGCGAAAGCGUGGGGAGCAAACAGGAUUAGAUACCCUUGUAGUC